UUGAUCCUGGCUCAGGAUGAACGCUAGCGGCAGGCUUAACACAUGCAAGUCGAGGGGUAUGGUAGCAAUACUAGAGACCGGCGCACGGGUGCGUAACGCGUAUGCAAUCUACCUUUUACAGAGGGAUAGCCCAGAGAAAUUUGGAUUUAUACCUCAUAGUAUUAUAGAAUGGCAUCAUUUUAUAAUUAAAGUCACAACGGUAAAAGAUGAGCAUGCGUCCCAUUAGCUAGUUGGUAAGGUAACGGCUUACCAAGGCUACGAUGGGUAGGGGUCCUGAGAGGGAGAUCCCCCACACUGGUACUGAGACACGGACCAGACUCCUACGGGAGGCAGCAGUGAGGAAUAUUGGACAAUGGGCGCAAGCGUGAUCCAGCCAUGCCGCGUGCAGGAUGACGGUCCUAUGGAUUGUAAACUGCUUUUAUACGAGAAGAAACACUACUUCGUGAAGUAGCUUGACGGUAUCGUAAGAAUAA
This 473-nucleotide ribosomal RNA is filed under the name Flavobacterium hercynium. RNAcentral describes it as "bacterial SSU rRNA". It matches the Rfam family "Bacterial small subunit ribosomal RNA", at positions 13 to 489 of the family's 1533-position model. The record is from RNAcentral. Lineage: Bacteria; Pseudomonadati; Bacteroidota; Flavobacteriia; Flavobacteriales; Flavobacteriaceae.